Molecule: non-coding RNA, 351 nt
Organism: Pelobates cultripes (western spadefoot toad)
Lineage: Eukaryota; Metazoa; Chordata; Amphibia; Anura; Pelobatidae
Source: the annotation of a GenBank genome assembly
GUGGAAUCAGCGGUGGUAGCCAACACUGGUAUGUGUGUGUGUGUAUAUAUAUAUAUAUAUAUAUAUAUAUAUAUAUAUAGUUCCGCAGAGUAGUUGUUGACAUUAUAGUUGCGCAGGAACUUUGUUGACUCUAGAGAACUUGGGCAAAUCGCACAUCCCCGUGGCGGCGACUUUGCAUGCGGAUGUCAUCCAUAUCAACUUUCUAUGCCAGUUUCUGCACCUACCAUGGUGACCACGGGUAACGGGGAAUCAGGGUUCCAUUCCGUACAGGGACCUUUAGAAAUGGCUACCACAUGCAAGGAAGGCAGCAGGCGCGCAAAUGACCCACUCCUGACGCGAGAAGGUAGUGAC